Non-coding RNA from Pelodiscus sinensis (Chinese soft-shelled turtle), 1499 nucleotides. NCBI's taxonomy places the organism in Eukaryota, Metazoa, Chordata, Testudines, Trionychidae. The record is from RefSeq and is a predicted model, not a curated record.
GAGACAGACACAUUUACACCAAGAUAUUCACUUUGGAUUUACACAGGGGUUUAGGGGAAUGGAGAUCACCUGGAGAAACUCAUGGAGUUCUGUGUGGGUUAUUGUCCUUUGCUCUGGGUUUACAAUUCAGUAACGUUACAUUUAUCCAGUGUUUAGGCAGAGGGUUACUCCAGAUUUACACUGACUCUAGUUUUACAGUGGAUUGUUUUACGUGUUUACUUAGAGGGUUACUCUAGAUUGACUCUGAUUCCUCUUCACUCUGCGGCUUAGUUGACGUUUACACUGAGGCUGUUCCAUAUUUACACUGAGGUUCUGUUUAUGAGGAGUGCUUUACUCCAGGUUUAAUCUGAGUUUCAAACAGGGCAGCUGCUCUCAAUACACAUAGAAUGUUGCUCCAAGUUUACUUCAGGUUUACUCAAUGCUUUCAACAGAGCUGAUGCUCUUGAUCCAUUCAGUGUGUUAUUCCAGGUUUAUUCUGGUCCUCAAACAGUGCUGCUGCUCAUGAUCCACACAGUGUGUUAUUCCAAGGUUAGUCCAGAUUUACUCGAAGUUUAUGCUGUGCUUCAAACAGAACAGCUGCUCUUAAACCACACAACAUGUUACUCCAGAUUCGGUCCAGGUUUACUCUGAGCUUUAAACAGAGCAGCCGCUCUCAAUGCACAUAGCAUGUUACUCCAGGUUUACUCCGUGCUUCCAACAGAGCACCUGCUCUUGAUUCACACAAUGGGUUAUUCCACGUUUACUCCAGGUUUACUCACUCUGAGCUUCAGGCAGAGUAGUGACUCUCAACACACACAGCAUGUUACUCCAGGUUUACUCACUCUGAGCUUCAGGAAGAGUAGCAACCCUCAACACACACAGCAUGUUACUUCACGUUUACUCGAGGUUUACUCUGAGCUUUAAAGAGAGCAGCUGCUCUCAAUAUACACAGCAUUUCACUCCAGGUUUACUCUGAACUUCAGGCAGAGUAGCUACUCUCAACCCACACAGCAUGUUACUCCAGGUUUACUCUGAGCUUCAGGAAGCGCAGCAAUUCUCAACACACACAGCAUGUUACUCCAGGUUUAGUCUGAGCUUUAGAGAGAGCAGCUGCUCUCAAUACACACAGCAUUUCAUUCCAGGUUUACUCCAGGUUUACUCUGAACUUCAGGCAGAGUAGCUACUCUCCACCCACACAGCAUGUUACUCCAGGUUUACUCUGAGCUCUCAAUUUACCCAGCAUGUUACUCCAGGUUUAACUCUCUGCUUCAGAUGGUGUUGCUACUCUCAGUCCAUGCUGCAAAUUACUCCAGGGCUACGCCUACCAUUUAUACAGGGGAUUACACGGUGUCCUCCAGCGAUGUUUCCUCCUGUUUCACAUGCUUAGGCUGGGGUUUCCUGUAUCUCCACUGGGCCAUCUCACCCUCCAGUCACACCACCUAGGGAGGAGUCUCUGGACGUGGGUCUCCCAGGGUGGGGGCGGGGGUCACUCUAGUUGCCCCCCUUCCCCCAUGUGAGCU